CCCCCCCCCCCCCCCCCCCCCCCCCCCCCCCCCCCCCCCCCCCCCCCCCCCCCCCCCCCCCCCCCCCCCCCCCCCCCCCCCCCCCCCCCCCCCUGCCUGCCCGCGGGCUGCUCCGCGCCGGGGUGCUGUGGGCGCGCCGGCAGCGGGCGGCAGCGCGGGCUGGCCUGCAGCACCGCUGUUCGCGGGCGCCCUGCCCUGCGGAGCCUCCUGCGCCGCUCCAGGAGCCGCCGGAUCGCCGGGCAGAGUGAAGACUGCCGGGGUCACUUUCAAUUGAGACUGUCUCCCUCCAUUGGAACAGUGACAGCUCUUCCUGGUGGUAUUUCUAAGCUCAUAUGCAGGAUGUUGAAGAGACUGUCUCACACAAAAGUCUUCAAAGGCUGCAGGGACUUCUUUGGCAGUGAGAACUAAAGCAUGACUGCCAUCCAGGAAGUGACUGGUUUUUUCCUUCCAUUUCCCUGAAAAACUUGUGAAAUUCCUGAGAAGCACAACUUUUUUCUGAAGUUCUGAAGAUUUUUUCUGAGUUCUGAAGCUCAUAUGAACAAAAAGGAGGACAUUUUUUUUUUUAGCUCUGC
This 572-nucleotide long non-coding RNA is filed under the name Ficedula albicollis (Collared flycatcher). RNAcentral describes it as "lncRNA (ENSFALG00000028091.1)". The record is from RNAcentral. Lineage: Eukaryota; Metazoa; Chordata; Aves; Passeriformes; Muscicapidae.